AAAAAAAGUCCUACUUGUUCUUGAUGAUGUCGAUGACUCUAAUCAAGUUAAUGCAGUUUUCGGGAUGAAAAGUUUGUUUUACCCGGGAAGUAAAAUAGUCAUAACAACCAGACAGAAGCGUAUUCUAAAUCCUCACCUAGUUGACAAGGUUUAUAGAGUAGAGACACUUGGCAGAGAUGAAUCCUUAGAGCUCUUUAGUUGGCAUACAUUUGGAAAACCACAUCCUGAAGAAGGUUUUCUUGAGUGUUCAAAUAAAGUCAUGGAACGGUGUGGAGGAAAUCCACUUGCACUAAGAGUUUUGGGUUCUUCCCUGGCAGGAAAAAGUCUAGAUGUAUGGCAAAGUACAAUAAAUAAGUUGAAAGUUG
Molecule: unclassified non-coding RNA, 365 nt
Filed under: Hevea brasiliensis (rubber tree)
Lineage: Eukaryota; Viridiplantae; Streptophyta; Magnoliopsida; Malpighiales; Euphorbiaceae
Source: RNAcentral